This is a long non-coding RNA of Rhinolophus ferrumequinum (greater horseshoe bat), 404 nucleotides long. RefSeq lists it as uncharacterized. NCBI's taxonomy places the organism in Eukaryota, Metazoa, Chordata, Mammalia, Chiroptera, Rhinolophidae. The record is from RefSeq and is a predicted model, not a curated record. The transcript has 3 exons.
UGAGAAAGCCAAGUACCACUAAGUGACCUCCCCAGGGAAGAGAGUUCACAGCAGAGGCAGCUUGAGACACAGAGGCUUUCUGUGGAGACAGGAAGUUCCCAGAGGAAGUCACAUAUCCUGCUUUCCAACCUGGGAGAUUGGCAGAGUGUCACCUCUCCCUUCUGAGCCUUCAGAAGCCAACAACAGAUUAUAUCAUCUAUUCUCUGAAUUCUUAAAUGGAACAAGGACAGCGCACCUCUCCGGAGGGUGGGACUGAGGAUAUGGCCACCAUUAAGAAAAAGCUGGUGUGUGAGUUCACUGGCAAAUUAUCUCUGCCCCACUUUUAGGAGAUGAGAUGUAUCCAUCAGGGUCCUGACAGUAAAUAGAUGGCACCUCAAAUUGGGUCAUUUGAGGAGCGUUUAAGA